Molecule: long non-coding RNA, 280 nt
Filed under: Manihot esculenta (cassava)
Lineage: Eukaryota; Viridiplantae; Streptophyta; Magnoliopsida; Malpighiales; Euphorbiaceae
Description: long non-coding RNA (MESC_LNC000617)
Source: RNAcentral
UGAUUCAUAGAACUUUAGACAAAGCAAUUGUGAAGGUCAGCUUUUGAUAAUCUUUGAAUUGGUUCUUGAAGGGAACGAUGUAGAGCUAUGUGCAAUGAACAAGGAAUAUUUUCUCCUCUUUUUUUCUUUUUUUUUUUCCCUCAAGUUAAACAAAGAAAAGAGAAAAACACCAAACUCUUUUUUCUUUUUACCCUUUAAUUUUUAGGGACAGAAUGUGACCACCAAACUGAAUACAAUGUAUUUGAGGUGUUUUUUAGUGGUUAGGGUUCUUAAUUUUGAC